This 232-nucleotide ribosomal RNA is filed under the name uncultured bacterium. RNAcentral describes it as "partial 16S ribosomal RNA". It matches the Rfam family "Bacterial small subunit ribosomal RNA", at positions 99 to 334 of the family's 1533-position model. The record is from RNAcentral.
CGGACGGGUGAGUAAUGUCUGGGAAACUGCCCGAUGGAGGGGGGUAACUAUUGGAAACGGUAGCUAAUACCGCAUAACGUCGCAAGACCAAAGAGGGGGACCUUCGGGCCUCUUGCCAUCGGAUGUGCCCAGAUGGGAUUAGCUAGUAGGUGGGGUAACGGCUCACCUAGGCGACGAUCCCUAGCUGGUCUGAGAGGAUGACCAGCCACACUGGAACUGAGACACGGUCCAG